AGCGAACGCUGGCGGCAGGCUUAACACAUGCAAGUCGAACGCCCCGCAAGGGGAGUGGCAGACGGGUGAAUAACACGUGGGAACGUACCCUUUGGUUCGGAAUAACUUGGGGAAAAUCAAGCAAAAACCGGUAAAGCCCUUAGGGGGAAAGGUUUACUGCCGAAGGAUGGGCCCGAGUCUGAUUAGCUAGUGGGUGAGGUAAUGGCUCCCCAAGGGGACGAUCAGUAGCUGGUCUGAGAGGAUGACCAGCCACACUGGGACUGAGACACGGCCCAGACUCCUACGGGAGGCAGCAGUGGGGAAUAUUGGACAAUGGGGGCAACCCUGAUCCAGCCAUGCCGCGUGAGUGAUGAAGGCCUUAGGGUUGUAAAGCUCUUUUACCCGGGACGAUAAUGACUGUACCGGGAGAAUAAGCCCCGGCUAACUUCGUGCCAGCCGCCGCGGUAA
RNAcentral lists this ribosomal RNA (447 nucleotides) under uncultured bacterium. RNAcentral describes it as "partial 16S ribosomal RNA". It matches the Rfam family "Bacterial small subunit ribosomal RNA", at positions 29 to 523 of the family's 1533-position model. The record is from RNAcentral.